UACAGAGGGUGCGAGCGUUAUUCGGAAUUACUGGGCGUAAAGCGCACGUAGGCGGCUUGGUAUGUCGGGUGUGAAAUCCCCGGGCUCAACCUGGGAACUGCAUCCGAAACUGCCUUGCUAGAGUAUGGGAGAGGGAAGUGGAAUUUCCGGUGUAGCGGUGAAAUGCGUAGAUAUCGAGAGGAACACCUGCGGCGAAGGCGGGUAGCUGGGCCGACACUGACGCUGAGGCGCGAAAGCCAGGGGAGCGAACGGG
This 253-nucleotide ribosomal RNA is filed under the name uncultured bacterium. Its description in RNAcentral is "partial 16S ribosomal RNA". It matches the Rfam family "Bacterial small subunit ribosomal RNA", at positions 524 to 776 of the family's 1533-position model. The record is from RNAcentral.